UCGGAUAUGGUGUAACGGCUAACAUUGCCGCCUCUCAUUCAUAUGAGCGCGGCAGCUCGGGGUUCGAUUCCCCGUAUCCGAA
RNAcentral lists this transfer RNA (82 nucleotides) under Termitomyces sp. T159_Od127. RNAcentral's name for it is "tRNA-Glu". It matches the Rfam family "tRNA". From Rfam's summary of the family: Transfer RNA (tRNA) molecules are approximately 80 nucleotides in length. The record is from RNAcentral. Lineage: Eukaryota; Fungi; Basidiomycota; Agaricomycetes; Agaricales; Lyophyllaceae.